UUCAGUUUGCUUGCAAACUGGAGAUGGCGACCGGCGCACGGGUGAGUAACACGUAUCCAACCUGCCGAUAACUCGGGGAUAGCCUUUCGAAAGAAAGAUUAAUACCCGAUGGUAUAAUCAGACCGCAUGGUCUUGUUAUUAAAGAAUUUCGGUUAUCGAUGGGGAUGCGUUCCAUUAGGCAGUUGGUGAGGUAACGGCUCACCAAACCUUCGAUGGAUAGGGGUUCUGAGAGGAAGGUCCCCCACAUUGGAAAUGAGACACGGUCCAAACUCCUACGGGAGGCAGCAGUGAGGAAUACUGGUCAAUGGGCGCAGGCCUGAACCAGCCAAGUAGCGUGAAGGAUGACUGCCCUAUGGGUUGUAAACUUCUUUUAUAUGGGAAUAAAGUUUUCCACGUGUGGAAUUUUGUAUGUACCAUAUGAAUAAGGAUCGGCUAACUCCGUGCCAGCAGCCGCGGUAAUACGGAGGAUCCGAGCGUUAUCCGGAUUUAUUGGGUUUAAAGGGAGCGUAGGUGGACAGUUAAGUCAGUUGUGAAAGUUUGCGGCUCAACCGUAAAAUUGCAGUUGAUACUGGCUGUCUUGAGUACAGUAGAGGUGGGCGGAAUUCGUGGUGUAGCGGUGAAAUGCUUAGAUAUCACGAAGAACU
RNAcentral lists this ribosomal RNA (644 nucleotides) under uncultured Bacteroidales bacterium. RNAcentral describes it as "bacterial SSU rRNA". It matches the Rfam family "Bacterial small subunit ribosomal RNA", at positions 70 to 708 of the family's 1533-position model. The record is from RNAcentral. Lineage: Bacteria; Pseudomonadati; Bacteroidota; Bacteroidia; Bacteroidales.